This 500-nucleotide ribosomal RNA is filed under the name uncultured bacterium. Its description in RNAcentral is "partial 16S ribosomal RNA". It matches the Rfam family "Bacterial small subunit ribosomal RNA", at positions 30 to 523 of the family's 1533-position model. The record is from RNAcentral.
AUUGAACGCUGGCGGCAGGCCUAACACACGCAAGUCGAGCGGUAGAGAGAAGCUUGCUUCUCUUGAGAGCGGCGGACGGGUGAGUAAAGCCUAGGAAUCUGCCUGGUAGUGGGGGAUAACGUUCGGAAACGGACGCUAAUACCGCAUACGUCCUACGGGAGAAAGCAGGGGAUCUUCGGGCCUUGCGCUAUCAGAUGAGCCUAGGUCGGAUUAGCUAGUUGGUGAGGUAAUGGCUCACCAAGGCGACGAUCCGUAACUGGUCUGAGAGGAUGAUCAGUCACACUGGAACUGAGACACGGUCUAGACUCCUACGGGAGGCAGCAGUGGGGAAUAUUGGACAAUGGGCGAAAGCCUGAUCCAGCCAUGCCGCGUGUGUGAAGAAGGUCUUCGGAUUGUAAAGCACUUUAAGUUGGGAGGAAGGGCAUUAACCUAAUACGUUAGUGUUUUGACGUUACCGACAGAAUAAGCACCGGCUAACUCUGUGCCAGCCGCCGCCGUAA